CGCGGGAUGGAGCAGUCUGGUAGCUCGUCGGGCUCAUUACCCGAAGGUCGUAGGUUCAAAUCCUGCUCCCGCAA
RNAcentral lists this transfer RNA (74 nucleotides) under Enterococcus sp. Its description in RNAcentral is "tRNA-Met". It matches the Rfam family "tRNA". From Rfam's summary of the family: Transfer RNA (tRNA) molecules are approximately 80 nucleotides in length. Lineage: Bacteria; Bacillati; Bacillota; Bacilli; Lactobacillales; Enterococcaceae. The record is from RNAcentral.